Molecule: RNA transcript, 5525 nt
Organism: Chiroxiphia lanceolata (lance-tailed manakin)
Lineage: Eukaryota; Metazoa; Chordata; Aves; Passeriformes; Pipridae
Gene: TOP2B
Gene name: DNA topoisomerase II beta
Exons: 36
Source: RefSeq, a predicted model, not a curated record
GCCUUUGUGGCUGCCGGGGGGGACGGCCCGGGGGUGAGGAGGAGGAGGGAGGCAGCAGCGCUACGGCGGCGAUAGCGGCGGCUGUUGUUGCCCCCGCCGCCGUGAGGCGAAGGGACCGGCCCGUCCCUUUAAACUGAGGAGAGCCGCAGGCCCGGCCGGGCCCGCCCGCCCUCUCACUGCCUCCCCGCCCGGCGGAAGGGGCUCUUUGUGCGGGCCCUCGGCCGCCCUUCCUCGGUGCCGCUGAGGGCGGGAGCGGCCCCAGCGCGGUGUCGGUGCCGGCCCUCCCGGCCGCCUCCGAGCGCCCUCGCCUCGGCUGAGGAGAGACGGGCAGAAAAUGGCAAAGUCUGGAGGAGGAGGAGGAGGCGGCGGUGGCGGCAGCGGGGGACUGACUUGGGUGACGUUAUUUGAUAAUCAGAUGAAUGCUUCAAAAAAAGAAGACUCAGAAAGUAUUAAUAAAAAUGACACUUCUAAGAAGAUGUCUGUUGAGAGAGUUUAUCAGAAAAAGACACAGCUUGAGCACAUCCUCCUCCGUCCAGAUACCUACAUCGGGUCAGUUGAACCCUUAACUCAGUUAAUGUGGGUUUAUGAUGAAGAUGUAGGAAUGAAUUGCAGAGAAGUUACCUUUGUUCCGGGCCUGUACAAGAUCUUUGAUGAAAUUCUUGUAAAUGCUGCUGACAAUAAACAGAGGGACAAGAACAUGACUUGUAUUAAAAUAUCCAUUGAUCCGGAAUCAAACAUUAUCAGCAUAUGGAAUAAUGGAAAGGGAAUACCAGUUGUGGAACACAAAGUAGAAAAAGUAUAUGUACCUGCUUUAAUCUUUGGGCAGCUGCUAACAUCCAGCAACUACGAUGAUGAUGAGAAAAAAGUUACAGGUGGGCGCAAUGGCUAUGGUGCAAAACUUUGUAACAUAUUUAGUACAAAGUUUACAGUUGAAACUGCUUGCAAGGAAUACAAACACAGCUUUAAGCAGACUUGGAUGAACAACAUGAUGAAGACCUCUGAACCCAAGAUUAAGCAUUUUGAUGGUGAUGACUAUACAUGCAUUACAUUCCAGCCAGACCUAUCUAAAUUUAAAAUGGAAAAGCUUGAUAAGGAUAUCGUGGCCCUCAUGACAAGACGAGCGUAUGAUUUGGCUGGGUCGUGCAAAGGAGUCAAAGUCAUGUUGAAUGGGAAGAAAUUACCUGUGAAUGGAUUCCGCAGUUACGUAGAUCUCUACGUUAAAGACAAGCUGGAUGAAACUGGAGUCGCGCUCAAAGUUAUUCACGAAGUUGUGAAUGAACGGUGGGACGUGUGCCUCACUCUGAGUGAAAAGGGGUUCCAGCAAAUCAGCUUUGUAAAUAGUAUAGCUACCACAAAGGGUGGUAGGCAUGUUGAUUACGUGGUGGAUCAAGUUGUGGGCAAACUGAUAGAAGUGGUGAAAAAGAAGAAUAAAGCUGGAGUUUCAGUCAAACCAUUUCAGGUGAAGAAUCAUAUAUGGGUUUUUGUUAAUUGCUUGAUUGAAAACCCAUCAUUUGAUUCCCAGACAAAGGAAAACAUGACAUUGCAACCUAAAAGUUUUGGGUCAAAGUGCCAGCUAUCUGAGAAAUUUUUUAAAGCAGCCUCUAACUGUGGUAUCAUAGAGAGUAUUUUGAAUUGGGUCAAAUUUAAGGCACAGACUCAGCUGAACAAGAAAUGUUCAUCAGUGAAACACAGUAAAAUCAAGGGCAUUCCGAAACUGGAUGAUGCUAAUGAUGCUGGUGGCAAACAUUCCUUGGACUGCACGUUAAUACUGACAGAAGGAGACUCGGCCAAAUCUUUAGCGGUCUCUGGCUUAGGUGUUAUUGGUAGAGACAGAUAUGGAGUAUUCCCACUCAGGGGCAAAAUUCUCAAUGUUCGAGAAGCUUCUCACAAACAGAUUAUGGAAAACGCAGAAAUCAACAAUAUCAUCAAAAUAGUUGGACUACAAUACAAGAAAAGCUAUGAAGAUCCAGAAUCUCUGAAAAGCUUGAGAUAUGGAAAAAUUAUGAUUAUGACAGAUCAAGAUCAGGAUGGAUCUCACAUAAAGGGCUUGUUGAUAAAUUUUAUUCAUCACAAUUGGCCAUCACUGUUGAAACAUGGUUUUCUUGAGGAAUUCAUCACCCCUAUUGUGAAGGCGAGCAAAAAUAAGCAAGAACUCUCAUUCUAUAGUAUCCCUGAAUUUGAUGAGUGGAAAAAGCAUAUGGAGAAUCAUAAAGCAUGGAAGAUAAAAUACUACAAAGGAUUGGGUACCAGCACUGCAAAAGAAGCAAAAGAAUAUUUUGCUGACAUGGAAAGACAUAGGAUCUUAUUUCGGUAUGCUGGUCCUGAGGAUGAUGCUGCCAUUACACUGGCCUUCAGUAAGAAGAAGAUUGAUGACCGAAAAGAAUGGUUAACAAAUUUCAUGGAAGACAGACGACAGCGUCGGCUACAUGGCCUUCCCGAGCAAUUUUUAUAUGGCACAGCAACAAAACAUUUGACUUACAAUGAUUUCAUUAACAAGGAGUUGAUCCUUUUCUCAAAUUCAGACAACGAGAGGUCUAUCCCGUCCCUUGUUGAUGGUUUAAAACCGGGGCAACGCAAAGUUUUGUUCACUUGCUUUAAGAGAAAUGACAAACGUGAAGUAAAGGUUGCUCAGCUGGCUGGUUCUGUGGCUGAAAUGUCAGCUUAUCACCAUGGGGAGCAAGCAUUAAUGAUGACUAUCGUCAAUUUGGCUCAGAACUUUGUUGGAAGUAACAAUGUGAAUCUGCUACAACCUAUUGGUCAGUUUGGCACCAGGCUUCAUGGUGGAAAGGAUGCUGCCAGUCCUCGCUAUAUUUUCACCAUGUUAAGCCCUUUAGCAAGGCUACUUUUUCCAUCAGUGGAUGAUAACUUGCUUAAAUUCCUUUAUGAUGACAACCAACGUGUGGAGCCUGAAUGGUAUAUUCCCAUCAUUCCUAUGGUUUUAGUAAAUGGAGCUGAAGGAAUUGGUACUGGAUGGGCAUGCAAACUUCCAAACUACGAUACCAGAGAGAUUGUAAACAAUGUCAGACGAAUGCUGGAUGGCUUAGAUCCCCACCCAAUGCUCCCAAACUACAAAAACUUCAAAGGAACCAUUCAGGAACUUGGUCAAAAUCAGUACGUAGUCAGUGGUGAAAUAUUUGUGGUGGACAGGAACACAGUAGAAAUUACAGAGCUUCCUGUAAGGACAUGGACCCAGGUGUACAAAGAACAGGUUCUAGAACCUAUGUUGAAUGGGACUGAAAAAACUCCAGCAUUAAUUUCUGACUAUAAGGAAUACCACACUGAUACAACUGUGAAGUUUGUUGUGAAGAUGACAGAAGAAAAACUUGCACAGGCAGAAGCUGCUGGAUUGCACAAAGUCUUUAAGCUUCAAACAAGUCUUACUUGUAAUUCUAUGGUGCUGUUUGAUCACAUGGGAUGUUUGAAGAAGUAUGAAACUGUGCAAGACAUCUUGAAGGAGUUUUUUGAUCUGCGAUUACAUUAUUAUAGUUUACGCAAGGAAUGGCUUGUGGGAAUGUUGGGUGCAGAAUCUACCAAGCUUAACAAUCAAGCUCGUUUCAUUCUGGAGAAGAUACAAGGGAAAAUUACCAUCGAGAACAGAUCAAAACGAGAUUUGAUUCAGAUGUUGGUCCAGAGAGGUUAUGAAUCUGAUCCAGUAAAAGCCUGGAAAGAAGCACAGGAAAAGGCUGCCGAAGAGGAGGACUCACAGAAUGCCAAUGAUGAUGCUUCCUCUGCUUCUGGUGCAACUUCUGGCCCUGACUUUAACUACAUCUUAAACAUGUCUCUGUGGUCACUCACGAAAGAGAAAGUGGAAGAGUUAAUUAAGCACAGAGAUUCCAAGGAGAGAGAACUAAAUGACCUUAAAAGGAAAUCUCCUUCAGAUCUUUGGAAAGAAGACUUAGCGGCCUUUGUUGAAGAGCUUGAAAAAGUAGAAGCACAGGAGAGAGAAGAUGUUUUGGCUGGCAUGGUUGGCAAACCAAUAAAAGGGAAAGUUGGUAAACCCAAGAUGAAGAAACUUCAGUUGGAAGAAACCAUGCCGUCACCAUUUGGCAGAAGAAUAGUUCCACAGAUUACAUCUGCCAUGAAAGCUGAUGCCAGUAGGAAGUUGCUGAAAAAGAAGAAGGGUGAAAGCGAUUCUUUAGCAAUAAAAAUGGAAUUUGAUGAAGAAUUUGGUGGUGUGCCAGCUGAGGGUGGUGGGGAUGACUCACUGAAUGCAUCAGCUGCAGCAGCUAAAACCCCUAAACCUAAGAGAGAGAAGAAGGAGCCUGGUACUAGGGUAAGAAGAACACCAUCAUCUACAAAAUCUGGUGCAAAAAAAGUGAAGAAACGAAACCCGUGGUCAGAUGAUGAAUCCAAGUCUGAAAGUGAUUUAGAAGAGAAUGAGCCUGUGAUUAUUCCAAGAGACUCUCUGCUUAGGAGAGCUGCAGCUGAGAGGCCCAAGUAUACUUUUGACUUCUCAGAAGAAGAAGAUGAUGCCGAUGACGAUGAUGAUGCUAACAAUAAUAAUGAUUUGGAUGAGCUCAAAGUAAAAGCCUCUCCAGUUAUAAAUGACAGAGAGGAUGAAUUUGUUCCUUCAGACAGUUUAGAAAAAGAUGAGUAUGACUUCUCCCCAGCCAAAUCAAAGCCAUCUCCAGAUAGAAAAACGUCUCAAGCCAAGAAAAAUCAAGACUUUGGGAACAUCUUCUCUUUUCCAUCUUACUCUCAGAAGACAGAUGAUGAUACAACAAAAUUGGACAGUGAUGAUGAGGAUUCUGCUCCUGUUUUCUCAUCAUCUUUUGCCCCAAAACAACAGAGAAAAUUCCAAGUAAACAGUAGCUGCUAAAAAGGCAAAACUAGAUGCGCCCCCUAAACCUAAAAGAGCUCCCAAGGCCAAGAAGGUGGAAACUGUAAACUCUGAUUCAGAUUCAGAAUUCGGCAUUCCAAAGAAGACUGCAGCACCCAAAGGAAAAGGUAGAGGGGCAAAGAAAAGGAAAGCAUCUGGUUCAGAAAAUGAAGGUGAAUACAACCCUGGAAAGAAAACACCCAAGUCCACACCAAGCAAGAAAUCCAAAAAGGCUGCUUUUGACCAGGAUUCUGAUGUGGAAAUCUUUCAGUCAGGCUUUGCCUCCGAAACUGCCCCAAAGCCACGGACGGGCCGGGCUAGGAAAGAAGUUAAAUAUUUUGCAGAGUCUGAUGAAGAUGAUGAUUUUGAUAUGUUUAAUUAAGUGCCCAAAGAGCACACAAAUGUUUUCCAACAAAUAUCUUGUGUUGUCCUUUUGUCCCCUCUGUCGCAAACUUUUGUACAUUUGACUUAUUUUAUGUGAUAAUGUAAUUGAUGGUUUUUAUUAUUGUGUGUAGGCAUUUUAACAUUUUGUUCUUACACCUACAGUUUUAUGCUCUUUUUUACUCAUUGAAAUGUCAUGUAUUUGUCUGACUGGCUUGUAGAGAUGUUCUAGACAGCUGUGCUAAAGCACAUUUUAAUUGUCAUGGUUGCAAACAGCAAACCUGCUUUUUGAAAUGAAGUUUAAACAUUAAAAAAUGGAAAACUA